UACGUAGGGGGCAAGCGUUGUCCGGAAUUACUGGGCGUAAAGAGCUCGUAGGUGGUUUGUCGCGUUGUUCGUGAAAACUCACAGCUUAACUGUGGGCGUGCGGGCGAUACGGGCAGACUGGAGUACUGCAGGGGAGACUGGAAUUCCUGGUGUAGCGGUGGAAUGCGCAGAUAUCAGGAGGAACACCCGUGGCGAAGGCGGGUCUCUGGGAAGGAACUGACGCUGAGGAGCGAAAGCGUGGGGAGCGAACAGG
Molecule: ribosomal RNA, 253 nt
Filed under: uncultured bacterium
Lineage: Bacteria
Description: partial 16S ribosomal RNA
Rfam family: Bacterial small subunit ribosomal RNA
Source: RNAcentral